UCCAGACUCCUACGGGAGGCAGCAGUGGGGGAUAUUGCACAAUGGGGGGAACCCUGAUGCAGCGACGCCGCGUGGGUGAAGGAGUAUUUCGGUAUGUAAAGCCCUAUCGGCAGGGAAGAAAUUGGACGGUACCUGACUAAGAAGCCCCGGCUAACUACGUGCCCGCAGCCGCGGUAAUACGUAGGGGGCAAGCGUUAUCCUGAUUCACUGGGUGUAAAGGGAGCGUAGACGGCCAGGCAAGCCUGGAGUGAAAGCCCGGGGCCCAACCCCGGGACUGCUCUGGGAACUGUCCGGCUGGAGUGCGGGAGGGGCAGGCGGAAUUCCUGGUGUAGCGGUGAAAUGCGUAGAUAUCAGGAGGAACACCGGUGGCGAAGGCGGCCUGCUGGACUGCGACUGACGUUGAGGCCCGAAAGCGUGGGGAGCAAACAGGAUUAGAUACCCGAGUAC
Molecule: ribosomal RNA, 447 nt
Filed under: uncultured bacterium
Lineage: Bacteria
Description: partial 16S ribosomal RNA
Rfam family: Bacterial small subunit ribosomal RNA
Source: RNAcentral